RNAcentral lists this unclassified non-coding RNA (387 nucleotides) under soil metagenome. RNAcentral describes it as "partial contains 5.8S ribosomal RNA, internal transcribed spacer 2, and large subunit ribosomal RNA". The stretch from base 1 to 120 matches the Rfam family "5.8S ribosomal RNA", at positions 35 to 154 of the family's 154-position model. The record is from RNAcentral.
GAUGAAGAACGUAGUGAAAUGCGAUAAGUAAUGUGAAUUGCAGAAUUCAGUGAAUCAUCGAAUCUUUGAACGCACCUUGCGCUCCUUGGUAUUCCGAGGAGCAUGCCUGUUUGAGUGUCAUGAAAUUCUCAACCUUUUCAGCUUUCUUUGUUGAUCAGGCUUGGAUGUGGGAGUAUGCGGGCUUCUCAGAAGUCGGCUCUCCUGAAAUGCAUUAGCGGGACCUUUGUUGCCUGGCUUUGGUGUGAUAAUUAUCUACGCCAUUGUAGUCAAGCAGCUUAAAAUGAGGUUUCAGCUUCUAACCGUCUCCCCUGAGACAACUUUUUGACAAUUUGACCUCAAAUCAGGUAGGACUACCCGCUGAACUUAAGCAUAUCAAUAAGCGGAGGA